This 276-nucleotide unclassified non-coding RNA is filed under the name Paraglomus occultum. Its description in RNAcentral is "partial contains 5.8S ribosomal RNA and internal transcribed spacer 2". The stretch from base 1 to 65 matches the Rfam family "5.8S ribosomal RNA", at positions 84 to 154 of the family's 154-position model. Lineage: Eukaryota; Fungi; Glomeromycota; Glomeromycetes; Paraglomerales; Paraglomeraceae. The record is from RNAcentral.
GUGAAUCAUCAAAUCUUUGAACGCAAAUUGCGCCUUUUUCGGAAGGCAUGUCCGUUUGAGGGCACCAUUUAACAAAUAAUGCGCAGCGUUUUUUGUUGCACACGUUGAUGAGCUUUCCAAGAAUCUUAAAUUUUUGGUGGCGCAUAAUGAACAGCGUGAAAGUUUUUUUCAGUUCGCGUGUAGUAAAAUUUUUCUUGCUUGGGUUGUGAAACGCGAGAUCGCGCAAUGGGUGUGGCAAUUUUAGUUAAUCCCUGCUCCAAUGACACUCUUUCUUGC